AUGGAGUUCAUCGGCGUUGGGCUUGGCAUGCUCUUCAAUUCCAUCUUGCCGCAGCUUAAGCAAAAGAUGAAGGAAUCAAAGCUAAAGAAGAUUGCCAUCAAUAGUGACAUUGAGGAUUUCAGGAGGGAGGCCGAAUUGCUGCAAUCUCGACUUGAAGAUGGCUACUCCCGGCAUGAAGGUGCCCACAAAGCCAAGCUGCUGGUGAUCAAUGGGAAUCUCAAAGUCUUGUGUCAAGAUACGAACGACUGCAUCCACCGGUUCCUGCGAAGGGGAUCUAUGGAGAGCUGCACGGACUUCGCAAAGAAGAUCAAAAGAUUCAAAGAAAAAGUCUACAAACUAAGCAAGCACACCAGAGAACUCAUGGAUUCGUUCAAAGAGCAGCACCUUGAACGCCCUUGUCAGUAUGUUACUUCCAGCGAGUUCGUGGGCAGGCAUGAACGCCUUGCUGAGCUGCAGGAGCUUGUACAUGAUCUACCCAGCUGCAAGCAGGAGGAGCCCAAGGUGAUCUCAAUCGUUGGCUUUGCUGGCCUAGGCAAGACCCUUCUUGCCAACGAAUUCUAUAAUAGCAAGGAAGCCCUCGCGAAAUUCCAUCACCGGGCCUGGGUUACUGACGCUGGCAGCCAUGAGGAGGUUGUCAAGAACAUACUCAUGGAAAUUGACAAAGGAGGCAACCAUGCUGAGGAUGCCCUGGACCUCCAGCGCCUCUGCCACAGCCUGCGGAAUUUCCUAAAAACGGCCACUGAGUACUUAAUUGUAAUCGAUGACAUGAAGAGGUGGAAGAUGUGGAACGAUAUAAAAUAUACCUUCAAGAAUGUGAAAGGCAUAGUCCUUGUGACGACAACCAUUCAGGAAGUAGCUAACACUUGCAGCCAAGGCACUAAUGGUUAUGUGUACAGGUUGUCACCCCUUGAUAAGGAGGAGUCUUUAAAGCUGUUCACAAUAGAAUGUGGUCAUAAAGGGGAUCCCGGUCAUGCAGAUUCUCAUUAUGCAAAAGAAGUAUUGAAGAAAUGUGAUGGUCUACCACUUGCUAUAGUCGAUGUGGCCAAUUAUUUGCAGAGUCAGGGAGUGUUGACAAGUAGUCGAUGUAAUGAUGCUUGCAGAGAUCUUGGUGCCUUUCUGGUACAAGUGGAUGACUGCAAGUUGGAACGAAUGCAAUCGGUGCUUAUGAAUAUAUACACCGGUCUGCCUGGUGCUCUCAGAUCCUGCUUGCUAUAUUUUUGCAUGUACAAGAAAAACAUAGCUGCAGUCCCCAAGAGGAAUUCUCUGAUGUGGCGAUGGCAAGCCGAAGGAUUUGUUGAUGUAAAAACUGGAUGUGAAUAUUUGAAUACCCUCAUCAACCACAAUAUCAUUCAGCCCAUGGAAGUAGGCACAAAUGGAGCUGCAAGGAGAUGCCGUCCUCCUGGAAUGGUGACCGAGUACAUUUCCCAGAUUUCCAAGUCCGAGAAUUUCGCUGCUUCGGGGUCUGAUCUAGUAGAAACGCCAAACAGUCGCAUCCGACGGCUUUCUUUGGACCCUGGCAGUGCUAAAGAUGAAAGAAUAAUUUCGGGCAUGGAAUUAAGUAUAGUGCUGACCAUGGCAGUUUCAGGAGAAGGAUGCAAAGAAAUUCUUGAUUUCAAAAGGUAUGAGCUAAUUGCAGUUUUGGAUCUGAAAGAAUGUACAAACCUGGACGAAAGUCAUGUCAUACAUAUAUGCAACCUGGUGCUCCUGAAAUACCUCAGCCUCGGGGACAGUAUAGAUGAGAUACCCAAGGCAAUAGCGAACCUGGUACUGUUAGAGACACUGCAGAUGAGGAGGACAAGAGAAACAGUAUUGGUGCAUAGACAAGUCUUGGAGCUACCCAACUUAAAACAUCUCCUUGGAAACUUCAAGCUUAAAACAAAGCCAGAUAAAGAGCUAUGUGAUUUCUUGGAGAAAAAGAGUGUCCUAGAGAUGAUUACAGGUUUUGUGACAGAAACUAGCAAAGGAUUUCCGAAUCUGAUGUGCCAUAUGAUGCAGUUGAGGAAGGUGAAAAUAGUUUGCGAUGCCAGUGUCGACCAAGAAAAUGUCAGAGACAAGAAGGGCAAGCAAACAGAUGACAAUGACAAGGAUCUUGCAAGGGCGAUCAAGGAAUUCAUUCAUAGAGGCUCAGAUACCCUCGGCUGUUCCCUAUCAAUGGACUUCGGGAAUGACGCCGGGCCUGUUAGGAUGGCACCACCCCUGGAAUUCCUAAAAUGUUCCGGCAGUCUUGACUCUCUCAAAUUGCGCGGCGGCUGGGGAACAUUCCAUCUGCCUCCUGAACCGUUUACAACAAUAACUGGUAUUACGAAGCUGUGCCUUUCACACACUUGCAAGAGCGGGGAAGAUAUCCUUGCCACUUUGACUGAUAUGAUUACACUGGAAUAUCUGAAGCUGGAAGAAGUAAAUCUGGGGCCCCUAAGGAUAGAAUCAGGAACUUUCCGAAGACUGAUGAGGUUAUGCCUCAUGGGCGAGACAAGCAGCAAGCAAGGCGAGGGUAUUACAAUCCAACAUAAAGCUCUGUCCAGUCUUGUCUCACUUCAUCUCAUCUCUAAAGCUCCCAUCUUUAUAGUUGAAAAGCCUCCCAACGGGCCAGAGCCUCAGGUUAGAGACCAGAUCACUGUAGUUGAUGCCCACAUCUCUAAAGGUAAUAAAAGUAAAGGCAAGGAAGUCCAGUUUCCGAUUGGGGCAGAGCCUCACGUUGGAGACCAGAUCUCUCAAUCUGAAGAUAAACAAGUCAAGCUUCACAUGGGAUGCCUCGGAUGCCUCGAGGAAAUCGCACUCGACUCUGGAGUCACACCAACCAUGCACGAUGCCUGGAAAAGAGCUGCAAAGGGGCAUCCUAACAGGCCUGGCGUUCUGUUGAUUCACAAGGCCGCUCGUAUUCCUCCCAGUUCCAAUGCAUAA
Molecule: ribosomal RNA, 2901 nt
Filed under: Triticum aestivum (bread wheat)
Lineage: Eukaryota; Viridiplantae; Streptophyta; Magnoliopsida; Poales; Poaceae
Description: partial small subunit ribosomal RNA
Source: RNAcentral